Molecule: ribosomal RNA, 164 nt
Filed under: uncultured bacterium
Lineage: Bacteria
Description: partial 16S rRNA
Rfam family: Bacterial small subunit ribosomal RNA
Source: RNAcentral
UAGGGAAUCUUCCACAAUGGACGCAAGUCUGAUGGAGCAACGCCGCGUGAGUGAAGAAGGUCUUCAGAUCGUAAAACUCUGUUGUUAGAGAAGAACACGAGUGAGAGUAACUGUUCAUUCGAUGACGGUAUCUAACCAGCAAGUCACGGCUAACUACGUGCUAG